AAAAAGAGGAGGCUGGGAGGCUUUUGCAGCAGGGCCUCACUUCAGGAAGCACACACCCUCAAGUUCAUCUGAAAGUGCAGAAUUCUUCCCAUCACCUGGCCAUGAACCCUCACCAUAACUCUGUGUGGGGUCAGGGGAGAGGAACAAGAGGGAGAGCUCAACAACAUUGGCCAAGUUCAACAACGUAAAAGGGAACUGUUUCAGCAAAGCAAUGCCGGAACUCUGUCUCUUACCAUGGGUUUCAACUGAGUGAUUUCUGGCGGGCGAUUCUGU
Peromyscus maniculatus bairdii (prairie deer mouse) is the source of this 273-nucleotide non-coding RNA. The record is from RefSeq and is a predicted model, not a curated record. Lineage: Eukaryota; Metazoa; Chordata; Mammalia; Rodentia; Cricetidae.